CCUACGGGUGGCAGCAGUGAGGAAUAUUGGUCAAUGGGCGUAAGCCUGAACCAGCCAAGUCGCGUGAGGGAUGAAGAUUCUAUGGAUCGUAAACCUCUUUUAUAAGGGAAUAAAGUGCGGGACGUGUCCCGUUUUGUAUGUACCUUAUGAAUAAGGAUCGGCUAACUCCGUGCCAGCAGCCGCGGUAAUACGGAGGAUCCGAGCGUUAUCCGGAUUUAUUGGGUUUUAAGGGUGCGUAGGCGGCCUUUUAAGUCAGCGGUGAAAGUCUGUGGCUCAACCAUAGACGUGCCGUUGAAACUGGUGGGCUUGAGUAUGUUUGAGGCAGGCGGAAUGCGUGUGUUAGCGGUGACAUGCUUAUAGAUUACGCAGAACCCUAAUUGCGAAGGCAGCCUGCCAAGCCAUGACUGACGCUGAUGCACGAAAGCGUGGGGAUCAAACAGGAUUAGAUACCCGGGUAGUC
This 460-nucleotide ribosomal RNA is filed under the name uncultured bacterium. RNAcentral describes it as "partial 16S ribosomal RNA". It matches the Rfam family "Bacterial small subunit ribosomal RNA", at positions 338 to 795 of the family's 1533-position model. The record is from RNAcentral.